Molecule: ribosomal RNA, 1105 nt
Filed under: Codonobdella sp. IK-2021
Lineage: Eukaryota; Metazoa; Annelida; Clitellata; Hirudinida; Piscicolidae
Also listed under: 1 other name
Description: large subunit ribosomal RNA
Rfam family: Bacterial large subunit ribosomal RNA (bases 708-1041)
Source: RNAcentral
UAAAAUAAAAGUACUUUAAUGGAAGUUUUUAAUUUAUUAAGUUAGUUUAUACUGUACCUUUUGUAUUAUGGGUUAACAAGUAAUAAAGUAAUAUCUUUUAUACCCGAAUAUUAAAUGAUAUGUACUUUAAUUGUUUAGAACUAAUAUUUUAUUGUUACAAUAAUAUAUAAAAAUUAAAAUACAGAGGCUACAUACCAACCGCAUUAAUAUAUAACUGGUUUUAUUAAAAUAUCAUAAAAUGAUGUAGCUACUAUUAGCUUUUGUUUAAUUGAAUAUAAAUUCAAUUAAAUUUAUCUAUUACUAUUAAAAUAUUAUAUAAAAAUUGUAGGCUUUAAAAUAGCUAUCAUAUAAUACUUUAUAGUUAUUAAAUAUAUUAGAAGUAUUUAAUUAAAAUGAUAAGCAUAUAAUAAAAUUUUAAGUAAUUUUAAUUAAUAUUUAUUAUGUUAACAUAAGUACUUAAUAAUAUUUAUUAAAGGAAUUCGGCAAAAAAUAUUUCCGACUGUUUUCAAAAACAUUUCUUUUAGUUUAAAUUAAAAGUAGGCCCUGCCCAAUGAUUUAUUUAAUGGCCGCGGUAUCCUAACCGUGCAAAGGUAGCAAAAUAAUUUGUUUAUUAAUUGUAAACUGGAAUGAAUGGGUUAACGAGAAAUAACCUGUCUCUAAUAUUUAAAUGAAAAUUAACGUAUAAGUGAAGAGGCUUAUAUUUUUAUGAAAGACAAGAAGACCCCAUAGAGUUUUACUUUAAAAAUAAAUUAAUUAUAAUAUAGUUUAGUUGGGGUGACUCGAGGAAUACUAAACACCUCAUUAAAUUUAAAAUUUAUAUAUUUAUUAAGACCCUUUUUAUAGAUCAACAAUAAAAAUUACCUUGGGGGUAACAGACUAAUAACUAUAUAGAGUUCUUAUCAAUAUAGUUGUUUGGCACCUCGAUGUUGGCUUAGGAUAACUUAUUAUAGCGCAACAGUUAAUAAAGUAGGUUUGUUCAACCUUUAAAAUCCUACAUGAGCUGAGUUCAGACCGGCGUGAGCCAGGUUAGUUUCUAUCUUCAAUUUUAUAUUUUUAGUACGAAAGGACCAAAAUAUACCUAUUAUAGGUUUUUAAUAAAAAUUAA